Molecule: transfer RNA, 75 nt
Filed under: Salmo salar (Atlantic salmon)
Lineage: Eukaryota; Metazoa; Chordata; Actinopteri; Salmoniformes; Salmonidae
Rfam family: tRNA
About the family: Transfer RNA (tRNA) molecules are approximately 80 nucleotides in length. Their secondary structure includes four short double-helical elements and three loops (D, anti-codon, and T loops).
Source: Rfam by way of RNAcentral
UCCCGUGUGGCUCAGUUGGUAGAGCGUGGUGUUUGCAACGCCAGGGGGUUGUGGGUUCGAUUCCCACGGGGGGGA